This 156-nucleotide non-coding RNA is filed under the name Aspergillus nomiae NRRL 13137. Its description in RNAcentral is "Aspergillus nomius NRRL 13137 Eukaryotic large subunit ribosomal RNA". It matches the Rfam family "Eukaryotic large subunit ribosomal RNA", at positions 2827 to 2984 of the family's 3401-position model. The record is from Rfam by way of RNAcentral. Lineage: Eukaryota; Fungi; Ascomycota; Eurotiomycetes; Eurotiales; Aspergillaceae.
UAACUGGCUUGUGGCAGCCAAGCGUUCAUGGCGACGUUGCUUUUUGAUCCUUCGAUGUCGGCUCUUCCUAAAUCAUACCGAAGCAGAAUUCGGUAGGCGUUGGAAUUACUAUUCACCCACUAAUAGGGGAACGUGAGCUCCGUCGUGAGACAGGUU